GACUACAUUUCCCAGAAUGCACCUGCACCCACUCAUCUGCCCCACCCUUCACGUGCGACUGCUUGACCUAUGGGCUUGACGGGAAAAUUCAAAAUCGCGAACCGUUACAGCCUGGACUACUCUUUGUUUGCUUGCACAUCAACAGUAAGAGGUCAUGUACACUGUGGUCAACUUUGUGGACGCUGAAGAGGUUUCUGGGUAAAGAUGAUAGAAAUAUAAUGAAGUAACAGUGGAAGCUAAAACAUCAGACUGAUCCAGACACUGAAGAAAUUGAUGUCACUGCAAUCUGGCCAAAAUGAUACAACUAUAUUGAAGUAGUCUACUGUAAUGAAGCUGCAGAACGUCACAGAGACUCUGAGGACAUCAACACAGAAAAUCAAGUAAGAAGAUAGACAUUAUGAAGUUCUUUGAUCAUAUAUUGCUGUAUCUUUGUACAGUUUAAUGUAAACUUUCUAAAAUGUACAACUUUAUGUCAUUUGAUUUGUUGUGUGUGUGUGUGUGUAUCUGUAUAUGUAUAUGUGUAUUAGUAUUAUGCCACAUACUUAUAUGUACGUUUAUAUUUCCAAAAGGCUCCAAAGAGAUGUCUGUCCAGAUGAGGGUGCAUCAACGUUACCUUUGCUGACAAGUAUAUGCUUUACAAUGUAAAACCUAACAGUUAACUUAACUCAAACCAUUUAAGGAAAUCUGUUGCCUUAAAUCAUUAAGUUUUAAAAAACAUACAUUUGAGUACUGUGAACUUAAGUCUUGUGCAAUUAUGCACUUAUAUUUAGGUAGUGUGAACUUAAAUAUAAGUGCUUAACUGCAUGUGACUCAAUUUGUUUAAGUUCACAGUACUCAAAUCUAUGUGUUUUAAAACUUGAAUGGUUUAAUGCAACCGGUUUUCUUAAAUGUGAGAAAUUACAGUGUUACAGUGAGAAAUAUUUGAAUAAUUCCAAGUCAGAGCUCUGUGAUUGAUUCUACACUGCAAAAAAUCACUUUCUAACACUUUUUAUCUUGUUUUCAGUAGAAAAACGAAAAAUUCUUAAAUCAAGAUGUAUUUUCUUGAUGAGCAAAAUUACCUUAGAAAAUAUGUCUAGUUUUUAGACAAAAAUAUACAAUUUAAGAUAAUUUGUGCCUAAACAAGAAAAAAUAUCUAACAAUGGGGUGAGAAAAUUGUUUUGAUUAAGUUUUUAA
Molecule: non-coding RNA, 1173 nt
Organism: Misgurnus anguillicaudatus (oriental weatherfish)
Lineage: Eukaryota; Metazoa; Chordata; Actinopteri; Cypriniformes; Cobitidae
Source: RefSeq, a predicted model, not a curated record